Long non-coding RNA from Labrus mixtus (cuckoo wrasse), 241 nucleotides. RefSeq lists it as uncharacterized. The transcript is spliced from 3 exons. The record is from RefSeq and is a predicted model, not a curated record. NCBI's taxonomy places the organism in Eukaryota, Metazoa, Chordata, Actinopteri, Labriformes, Labridae.
GCCGAAAGCGCUCUGCCGAAAGCGCUCUGCCGGUCUACGAUGAAGAAAUGUGCAAAGAAGAGAUAAAAGCAGCUGGUCUGACAUCUUCCACAGAGGUGAAGUAACCUAAAAAUGACUCAUUUCAACCUUCAUCUGCACACCUGUUACAGAGGUCAGGCUGGGGUCACAUAGUCUGAAGGAACCUCCUCCUUCUUUCACCUGUGCCAGACGCCCUGCUCAUCCACUGUGGUAGAAAUGACCU